UUGGAGGGCAAGUCUGGUGCCAGCAGCCGCGGUAAUUCCAGCUCCAAUAGCGUAUAUUAAAGUUGUUGCAGUUAAAAAGCUCGUAGUUGAAUUUCGGGAUCAAUUUAUUGGUCGUGCCAACGGUACGCACUGGUACAAUUGGUUUCUCCCUUCUGACGAAGCAUGAUGUCAUUAAUUUGAUGUCGUGGGGAAUCAGGACUGUUACUUUGAAAAAAUUAGAGUGUUUAAAGCAGGCUCUGGCUUGAAUACAUUAGCAUGGAAUAAUGAAAUAGGACGUUUGAUCUUAUUUCGUUGGUUUCUAAGAUCGACGUAAUGAUUAAUAGGGAUAGUUGGGGGCAUUAGUAUUCAAUUGUCAGAGGUGAAAUUCUUGGAUUUAUUGAAGACUAACUACUGCGAAAGCAUUUGCCAAGGAUGUUUUCAUUAAUCAAGAACGAAAGUUAGGGGAUCGAAGACGAUCAGAUACCGUCGUAGUCUUAACCAUGAACUAUGCCGACUAGGGAUCGGAUGAUGUUAAUUUUUUAAUGACUCAUUCGGCGCCUUACGGGAAAC
This 549-nucleotide ribosomal RNA is filed under the name uncultured Glomeromycotina. RNAcentral describes it as "SSU rRNA". It matches the Rfam family "Eukaryotic small subunit ribosomal RNA", at positions 548 to 1098 of the family's 1831-position model. The record is from RNAcentral. Lineage: Eukaryota; Fungi; Glomeromycota.